ACGCUCGACACCUACGGAGGCAGCAGUGGGGAAUAUUGCACAAUGGGGGAAACCCUGAUGCAGCGACGCCGCGUGGAGGAAGAAGGUCUUCGGAUUGUAAACUCCUGUUGUUGGGGAAAAAGAGGAUGGUACCCAACAAGGAAGUGACGGCUAACUACGUGCCGGCAGCCGCCGGUAAUCUGAGCGGGCGUGGCAAGGC
RNAcentral lists this ribosomal RNA (199 nucleotides) under uncultured bacterium. RNAcentral describes it as "partial 16S ribosomal RNA". It matches the Rfam family "Bacterial small subunit ribosomal RNA", at positions 328 to 544 of the family's 1533-position model. The record is from RNAcentral.